CAGGAACUUGUGAUUUUUCCUUUUCUUAAAGUGCGAUAGAUACGAUAUGAUCGGUGGUUGGAUCGAUGGAACAGGUAAUCCCUAAGCUUAGAUGGUUUGGAGUGCGAGGGACUCGGAGAUGGCCACACUACUGUUUCUGUUUCUUUUAAUUACAAUAAGUAGCCGAUUUAUUUCUUUAUAAGUUUUAUGUUAUUAAUAUUAUUAUUUGGUUUUGGGUUGUAAUAAGGCCAUUUUAAUUAUAUUUCUGGGAUUAUUUUAUUUUAUACCUUAUAUUUUACUAAUAACAA
Molecule: long non-coding RNA, 287 nt
Organism: Gossypium arboreum
Lineage: Eukaryota; Viridiplantae; Streptophyta; Magnoliopsida; Malvales; Malvaceae
Exons: 2
Source: RefSeq, a predicted model, not a curated record